RNAcentral lists this microRNA precursor (78 nucleotides) under Schistosoma mattheei. Its description in RNAcentral is "mir-3492 microRNA precursor family". It matches the Rfam family "mir-3492 microRNA precursor family". Lineage: Eukaryota; Metazoa; Platyhelminthes; Trematoda; Strigeidida; Schistosomatidae. The record is from Rfam by way of RNAcentral.
AGCUUUUUGAAUUCGUGUAGAGAUUUUGUCAGACAUUAACCCAUUAGAGCUUACCAGACUUCCAAGAUAAGUGAAGUU